Long non-coding RNA from Oncorhynchus gorbuscha (pink salmon), 3004 nucleotides. RefSeq lists it as uncharacterized. The transcript is spliced from 2 exons. The record is from RefSeq and is a predicted model, not a curated record. NCBI's taxonomy places the organism in Eukaryota, Metazoa, Chordata, Actinopteri, Salmoniformes, Salmonidae.
AGCAUUUUACAAAUCUGACUCGGUGGAUAGAUUCACAACGAGUGUAGCUUUAAUUCAGUAUAUUGUAUGUCAAUUUUAAUGAAAGUUUGAGUUUUAUCAAAAACUAUACGUGGCGCACUUGAAAUUUCCACUGAUUUCCACUGAUUGAUGUUCCCACAGCGGGAGCACUUCCCUAACAAGUUUUAAGCUCUGAUGUCUAAGUGAAGAAAUUCAUUUUCACACGUGAGCACUGGGUGUAAGUACUUGGCAAAUGCGUGUGGCAUGAUGUGUCUCAAGUGUGUUUUACAAUUGCAAACUGAGUGUAAAGCAGAUAAUGGGCGUGCAAUUUUACAGAUUGGUCUGAAGAUUAGGUAUAUGAGUUAAUGGUUUCACUGAGUGUGCCUCAAGUAUCACUUUUAGUGUGUAAAAGAUUGUAAAAAACUGUAAUUAACUAGAAGACUGAUGGUGACUGGUUAGCUACGGGGAAGCAAGAUUGUAUAAACCGAAGCAGAGCCUGAGCGCAACCUGUAUGCUUGUCUGCUCACACUCAUUGCUUGCUCCCCUGCAGCUCACCAGCUGAUGCAGGGUGUGGCAGCAGUCCUUCCCACUGCUGAACUGUGCUUACCACUGAAAAGCUCUCAAUCUCUCCCAGAUAAUUUAGUCUCGUCUUGUUUUAGUUAACUGAAAUUCAUGUUUUUAUUUUUAAUGUUUUUAUUUUUAUUCUCAUCAAUUGACACUGAAAAAUAGAUGUUUGAGGAAUAUUUUAGUCACUAUUUUUGUUGACUAAAUUAAAACUGCAUUGAUAUAUGUACUGGACAAUUUAACCUCUAAAUAAAGACAAGUGACUAGAACCUCUCUGUGUGUGUGUGUGUGUGUGUGUGUGUGUGUGUGUGUGUGUGUGUGUGUGUGUGUGUGUGUGUGUGUGUGUGUAUAUGUUAGACCUCAGAACUGCUGGAGUGUGACUGCUAAAUUGUGUAACUCUUUGUUUUUACAUUUUAGUCAUUUAGCAGACUCUCUUAUCCAAGAGUGACAAUACAAUAAGUGCAUUCAUCUUAAGAUACCUAGGUGAGACAACCACAUAUCACAGUCCUAGUAAGUACAUUUCCCUCAAUAAACAAGUUAUCAGCAAAGUUAGUGCUAGUAGGAAAAGAGAAAUUCAGGUUGUUGUUUUGUAAUAUAAAAAAAUAUACAAAAAUGGGGGGGGUGGCUAUUUAGGAUACUAUUUUUCUGAUGUUGGUGAUGUAAUUGGAUUUUUCAAUGACUCUAUGCAAAUGUAUGUUUUUCAACAGGACAAUGACCCAACACACCUCCACAAUUGCCCAACCGCAACCCAAUUGAGAUGGUUUAGGAUGAGUUGACUGCAGAGUGAAGGAAAAGCAGCCAACAAGUGCUCAGCAUAUGUGGGAACUCCUUCAAGACUGUUGGAAAAGCAUUCCAGCAGUCACGUCUGGUGAGCGUGCAACCCUGUGCCUUCAGAAAAAAAGUACUCAGCUCAACAGCUCCUCAGUGUGUGAGCACGGCUGUAGCCUUUUGAUGUCUGUCCUCUGCAUAGCAGUUCACACAGAGCAGUGGAAUGCCCAAGGACAAAAUCAAUCUGCUCUGCGCGACACCUGGCAUGUAAAAGUCCGUAAUCAUACCGCUCUCUAGUACCGUUUGAACCUGAUUUUAACAUGGGUCCUUUGUCCUGAUCUUAUCUACAUUCUGUUUGGCCAACAUUUCCAGAAAUGUGCCCACAUAUGGUAUUUAAAUGUGUCUGUUAUCAAUCUGUCCACUGUCUGCAUUGUGACCAGAUGUCCUGGUCCCUUUCUUUAUGCAAAGUAUUUACAGCUUUUCUUACAAUAACUAAAUAAAUAUUAUUUUCUAAGACACAUAUUGAUGUAAUCAGUUAAUCGUGCCACUUGUCAAUGAUUUUAGAGGGUGGAAUAACUAUGAUUUAAAUGGUAUCUCUGUCCAGAUCUGUCUACAUUUGUAAGAUAUCCAGACACAAUGUGUGUCUGACUACCUCCGGAGGUGGGCAGAAUGAGCUGUCUUUUGUUUGUCUACACCUGUUUAAAAAUGUGGGCAAGAUCAGAAUGUAGAUAAAGUCAGUACAAAGGAUGAAAGUUACAACCAGGUAUAAACAGUGCUUCUGAAACAUCAUGCGUAUUUGACUUUUCUUAUCGAGAUGGGAAGAGUCCUUUUCCCAGAAACCCAGCUGACCUUUAUCCUGGCUGUACCUAGUUAACCCUAACCUUUAACGCUUUUGGAAAACACAGCUGGUGUUUACACAGACAGACCAAUUUUGAUCUUCGGCACAAGUGUUGGAAAAUAACUGAUCUGAUUGGGCAAAAGACCAAUUAGUGUAAAGAUCUAAGAAUUGAGAUGACUGUGUAAACGCAGCCCACCUGGCACACAGAAUGCUAUUUUUUUCUCUUAAAUGAAAAGUAACUGCAUGGUUAAAUUCUUUUAAAUCACAGGCUGCGUUUACGAAGGUUGCCCAAUUCUGAUAUUUUCCCCAAUUAUUGGCAAAAGAGCUGAUCUGAUUGGUCAAAAGACCAAUUAGUAUGAAAUAUCAAAAUUAGGCUUCCUGUGUAAACACAGCCAUAGACAUACGCAUAAAUAUAGCUUUUCUAUCAGUGCUAGUUGAAUGGCUACCUACACAGGCAGCCCAAUUUUUCAACUAAUUGGUCUUUUGACCAAUCAUAUCUGAUUUCGUCUUUUUCAGAACUGAUCUGAUUAGUCAAAAGACCAAUUAGUGAAAAAAAAGAUCUGCUUUGGGCUUCCUCUGUAAACACAGCCAUAGUUCUUUGCAAGAAUUUACCAAAACAGCAUAUGCUAGACUUAUUGCUUGUUAGGAACAUGCUAACGUUGCAUUUCUUCUGGGUGAUCUAUAGUUGUUCCAGUGUGUUAAUGGAAGACUAGUCUAUCACUGUCUCUAAAUCACCACGUGGUUUAUGUUACUUCAAUUAGUCAUUUAGAUUAUGCUUAAAUUGCAUUCUGCUUCAUUGGUAGACUUGUUUUUUUUUAAAAGAUUACCCCAGUUGAA